Molecule: ribosomal RNA, 541 nt
Filed under: uncultured Glomeromycotina
Lineage: Eukaryota; Fungi; Glomeromycota
Description: SSU rRNA
Rfam family: Eukaryotic small subunit ribosomal RNA
Source: RNAcentral
AGGGCAAGUCUGGUGCCAGCAGCCGCGGUAAUUCCAGCUCCAAUAGCGUAUAUAAAGUUGUUGCAGUUAAAAAGCUCGUAGUUGAAUUUCGGGAUCAAUCUAUCGGUCGUGCAAUAGUACGUACUGAUUUUAUUGAUUCCUCCCUUCUGAUGAACUAUGAUGUCAUUAAUUUGGUGUCAUAGGGAAUCAGGACUGUUACUUUGAAAAAAUUAGAGUGUUUAAAGCAGGCUCACGCUUGAAUACAUUAGCAUGGAAUAACGAAAUAGGACGUUUGAUUCUAUUUUGUUGGUUUCUAGGAUCGACGUAAUGAUUAAUAGGGAUAGUUGGGGGUAUUAGUAUUCAAUUGUCAGAGGUGAAAUUCUUGGAUUUAUUGAAGACUAACUACUGCGAAAGCAUUUGCCAAGGAUGUUUUCAUUAAUCAAGAACGAAAGUUAGGGGAUCGAAGACGAUCAGAUACCGUCGUAGUCCUAACCAUAAACUAUGCCGACUAGGGAUCGGAUGAUGUUAAUUUUUUAAUGACUCAUUCGGCGCCUUACGGGAA